AGUAGUUUGACUCCUGGCUCAGGACAACGCUGGCGGCGUGCUUAACACAUGCAAGUCGAACGGGCACUUCGGUGCUAGUGGCGAACGGGUGAGUAAAGCGCAGGUAAUCUGCCGCAAAGAUGGGGACAACGUUGCGAAAGUGACGCUAAUACCGAAUGUUGUAGUGAUCUCGCAUGGGGUUGCUACCAAAGAUUUAUCGCUUUGCGAGGAGCCUGCGUCCGAUUAGCUAGUUGGUGGUGUAAAGGACCACCAAGGCGACGAUCGGUAGCCGGUCUGAGAGGAUGAACGGCCACAAUGGAACUGAGACACGGUCCAUACUCC
Molecule: ribosomal RNA, 321 nt
Filed under: uncultured Veillonellaceae bacterium
Lineage: Bacteria; Bacillati; Bacillota; Negativicutes; Veillonellales; Veillonellaceae
Description: bacterial SSU rRNA
Rfam family: Bacterial small subunit ribosomal RNA
Source: RNAcentral